UCCAGCUCUCGCCUCGUUCCUAACUUAUAAAUAAUAACUUCAGGAACAAAAUUAUACCAUCUAGGUCCUGCUGCCCAGUUUUGGCUGUUCCUGCAGCUUUUCUUGACAUCUGGGCAGAAGUCUGUCCUAGCAUGGAGUCUGACGUCUGUUAUGCUGCAAUAGGAGGGACCUAUGAUGACUUCCCAAGAAUUAAACAUUACAGACCCAAACAUCUGUCUGGAGCCACUUCUUCAACCGAACCAGGAGCAGUCUGGUGGGGAUUUGUGGAUUUCCCAGCAUGAUGGAAAGGCUAAGUGACAACAAACCUGCAUUCGGAAAGCUCCACGCAGCAGGCUGACCUUGGAGCUGAACCCAGAACAGGUUUUAAAAGAAAACACGAACAAAACGUAACCAAACCAGACCCAGAAAGCAUGAACCACCGCAGGACAACAAAAUUCUCGUCUCUCCUCCUGGGAUCAGGCAGUUCUCUGUCCGUCUGAUGGGGAAACGCAGCAGAUCACAGCUGGCUCUGCGCCCACAGAUAGAGCUGCUCCCCAGCGGCCUCACACUGCUGCCUCAGAUCCCGGUCCAAACCUCCCGCCCGGCCCAAAAGGUCAACCCUCCGCCCCUGGAGCCUGCAACCGUCGCCUCACCUCUGGCACAAACACCACCAGCCUUCCUCUGCCAGCUUGUUACACCCAGACAAA
Molecule: long non-coding RNA, 686 nt
Organism: Poecilia latipinna (sailfin molly)
Lineage: Eukaryota; Metazoa; Chordata; Actinopteri; Cyprinodontiformes; Poeciliidae
Exons: 4
Source: RefSeq, a predicted model, not a curated record